CAGUGAGAAUACAGCAAUCUUUAGAAGCACUCUGUAAAAGCACUUUCUUUAUGUCAUCUAAGGUAUACGUGCCAGAGAAUAUCAUAUAUGUAAUAUGUAACCUUUCUGUCUGCUAGUUUGACUUUUUGGACGAAAUUUUUUCAUAUGUGACGUAAGGUAUUUCAACAUGUUGGAAUCUUUUUCUGUAUUACACAGUAGUCUGAUGGUUCAGAAGUGGUUAUGAAACGGUGUAAUAGGUGUGUUCAAAAUAAAAGGAUUUCCUGCAAUAGAACCAUAUGGCAGUAAUGGAAUGGAGAAACAGAAUAGUAAGUCUAAAGAAGCAGUGCCAGAGGACACUGUGACAGUGGAUGCUGUCCAUCCACGUUUGUUAAACAAAUCAAGUCAGCAAGAACCAUCUAGGUUAACAUCAAGUGAUGAAGUUGCAUAUUGCAUACAAUGUGAAGAAAGUAUUGUAAAUACUGUUGCUGCCAUAAGAAACCAUUUUUUGAGAACACCACAUGAAAGUCUACCAUGUUUGUAUUGCCAUGGCCCUGCGUACAAAUACAUUUCCAGAUCUGAGAAAAUUUACCAUGAAUGCAUUUUGAAUGCUGCCCAAGAAGAGGAUUCUAAUAACAGUGAUUCCUCAAGCUUGUCAAAAGACAAGGAUAUUGAUAGCAGUGAGACAGAAAGCACAUCGAGUGCUAAAAAUAUUAAAACUGCAGGCUUAUUGUGUGAGAAAAAUACUGACUCGCACAGUUUGAAUGAUUUUUCCAAUGUUGAAAACACAUAAUUAUACCUUCACAUUGUGAAUUUACUUUAAUUUGAAAUACUCAUGUUACUCAUGUUAAAAGUAAUGAAGUACAUGCAGCAAUGGAAAUUUCUCAGCAUUCAGAAACAAAAAAGUUGAUCUAUUGAUGAACUGUGUGAUCAUAGAAUGUAAAAUAGUGGGCUGUAGAUAUGACAGCCAGAGUUGGUUGUACAUCCAAGAAGCUCCUGAUGCCCACCCAGAUUCCUAUAUAAUGCUGUAUAUUGCUGUGUGUAUGUCAUAAGAAGGUAAAGGUUGUUUGUAAAGCCCAGAGGCAACUUUUGCUUUUUACCCUACUCUGGUUUCUUCCUUUUGAUAUUGUAAAUGGAUGCUUAUGGGUUUCUAAGGUUUCUCACCAUUUGAAACAGGUACACUGGAGUCUGACUAAUGUUUCAGUUGUUCUUUCAGUAAGGACUUCUCUGUAACAAAUUUAAAAAAUAACCUUUGUAAUACUGAAGCUAUGUCAGGUAUUAAGUGCUUUUGUUGUUAGUAUGUUGUAUUUUCCUGGUCGUGAGAUAUUUGAAACCUUCUUUCAGGGUUUAUCUAACUGUGUAAGCCUAGUGUAUUGUUAAGUUUAGCUUCUAUCAGAUGAAAUAUGCUGCACUCUGCUGAUAGCUAAACCCUAUUAAACUACAAACACUUGCCUUUUGCACAUUCCCUUGAAUUUAAAUUUCUGUUGGGAUAGUACAUUCAUGCUUCCUUGUUCAGGAUUUCCUCCUGCAUAAUGUGACAGUAGCAUAGUUUGUCAUGUAGAUGCAUUUUAUGAUCUGAUAUAAUUUAUUUCCCCAAAUAAAUUAAGAUGCUGAUGACAACUGGAAAAUAUGUCGUAACGCCAAAAAACGAAUCUGAAACCAUGAAUCUGUGUGGAGGACAUAUCUUGUAUUUGACUUUCCUUUGUAUAUUCAUAUGCAGUCUGUAACCGUAAUCUGUUAACUAUUAUUAUAAUCUCUUGUUAUCAUAAGUGGGGAUCUGACUUUGUAAUCAAUGAUACUCGAGCAGUACUUGAGCAGUACGAAAUAAUCUCACGUAACUAGUUUUAAGGCGCUAAUUUUCACCCCAGUGUUGGAAUAUGUUAAUUUAUUGCAUGUCCUGAAAAAUAUGAAUUUUUACAUGUCUAGUAAUUGAAUUGCCUUGUAUAUUUUGUAAUUUCUGCAACAAAAUGUUAGUUAAAAUUAAAUGUAGCCACAAUGUGUCUUUUUUGUUUGUGACUAUUGCCAUUAAAAUUGAAAAUCUCUGGAAUAAUGGAUCCUAGAUCCUAAUAUACUCGUAUAUGAUAUUUGGUAGCAUGUAUUAUAAUAUUUUGCUCAUUUUCUUUGUUUCCUAUUUGGGGAGAUGUGAUAUAUAAAGGAUUCUCUUUUUAAAGUCACUGUUAUGCAGUGUUUGAGUUCAAGAGUUGUUUGCAAGUAUUCAAAGAGUGUAUUUUGUAUUUGAAUUUCUGACAGCUGUAGAAUUUAUGUUGUGACACACUUAUGGAAACACAAUACAUAAUACAAUUCUGAUAUAAAUAUA
Zootermopsis nevadensis is the source of this 2293-nucleotide long non-coding RNA. RefSeq lists it as uncharacterized. The record is from RefSeq and is a predicted model, not a curated record. Lineage: Eukaryota; Metazoa; Arthropoda; Insecta; Blattodea; Termopsidae.